This 643-nucleotide ribosomal RNA is filed under the name uncultured bacterium. RNAcentral describes it as "bacterial SSU rRNA". It matches the Rfam family "Bacterial small subunit ribosomal RNA", at positions 36 to 694 of the family's 1533-position model. The record is from RNAcentral.
CUGGCGGCGUGCUUAACACAUGCAAGUCGAGCGAUGAAGUUUCCUUCGGGAAACGGAUUAGCGGCGGACGGGUGAGUAACACGUGGGUAACCUGCCUCAUAGAGUGGAAUAGCCUUCCGAAAGGAAGAUUAAUACCGCAUAACGUUGAAAGAUGGCAUCAUCAUUUAACCAAAGGAGCAAUCCGCUAUGAGAUGGACCCGCGGCGCAUUAGCUAGUUGGUGGGGUAACGGCCUACCAAGGCGACGAUGCGUAGCCGACCUGAGAGGGUGAUCGGCCACAUUGGGACUGAGACACGGCCCAGACUCCUACGGGAGGCAGCAGUGGGGAAUAUUGCACAAUGGGGGAAACCCUGAUGCAGCAACGCCGCGUGAGUGAUGAAGGUUUUCGGAUCGUAAAGCUCUGUCUUUGGGGAAGAUAAUGACGGUACCCAAGGAGGAAGCCACGGCUAACUACGUGCCAGCAGCCGCGGUAAUACGUAGGUGGCGAGCGUUAUCCGGAUUUACUGGGCGUAAAGGGAGCGUAGGCGGAUGAUUAAGUGGGAUGUGAAAUACCCGGGCUCAACUUGGGUGCUGCAUUCCAAACUGGUUAUCUAGAGUGCAGGAGAGGAGAGUGGAAUUCCUAGUGUAGCGGUGAAAUGCGUAGA